This 253-nucleotide ribosomal RNA is filed under the name uncultured bacterium. Its description in RNAcentral is "partial 16S ribosomal RNA". It matches the Rfam family "Bacterial small subunit ribosomal RNA", at positions 524 to 776 of the family's 1533-position model. The record is from RNAcentral.
UACGAAGGUCCCGAGCGUUGUUCGGAAUCACUGGGCGUAAAGGGAGCGUAGGCGGCGCGGUAAGUCAGAUGUGAAAUCCCGGGGCUCAACCCCGGAACUGCAUCCGAUACUGCCGUGCUAGAGUAAUGGAGGGGUAGCUGGAAUUAUCGGUGUAGCAGUGAAAUGCGUAGAUAUCGAUAGGAACACUCGUGGCGAAAGCGAGCUACUGGACAUUUACUGACGCUGAGGCUCGAAGGCUAGGGGAGCGAAAGGG